This 444-nucleotide ribosomal RNA is filed under the name uncultured bacterium. Its description in RNAcentral is "bacterial SSU rRNA". It matches the Rfam family "Bacterial small subunit ribosomal RNA", at positions 337 to 797 of the family's 1533-position model. The record is from RNAcentral.
GCCUACGGGGCGCAGCAGUAGGGAAUAUUGGGCAAUGGGCGAAAGCCUGACCCAGCAACGCCGCGUGUACGAUGAAGGUCUUCGGAUCGUAAAGUACUUUUCUGGGAGAUGAGAAAGGACAGUAUCCCAGGAAUAAGCUUCGGCUAACUACGUGCCAGCAGCCGCGGUAAAACGUAGGAAGCGAGCGUUAUCCGGAUUUACUGGGCGUAAAGCGCGUGUAGGCGGUUUGGUAAGUUGGAUGUGAAAUCUCUCGGCUCAACUGGGAGAGGUCGUUCAAAACUACCAGACUAGAGGACAGUAGAGGAAAGUGGAAUUCCCGGUGUAGUGGUGAAAUGCGUAGAUAUCGGGAGGAACACCAGUGGCGAAAGCGGCCUUCUGGACUGUAUCUGACGCUCAGACGCGAAAGCUAGGGGAGCGAACGGGAUUAGAUACCCGGGUAGUCCC